AACGAACGCUGGCGGCAUGCCUAACACAUGCAAGUCGAACGAGACCUUCGGGUCUAGUGGCGCACGGGUGCGUAACGCGUGGGAAUCUGCCCUUGGGUCCGGAAUAACUCAGAGAAAUUUGAGCUAAUACCGGAUGAUGACGUAAGUCCAAAGAUUUAUCGCCCAGGGAUGAGCCCGCGUAGGAUUAGCUAGUUGGUGAGGUAAAGGCUCACCAAGGCGACGAUCCUUAGCNGGUCUGAGAGGAUGAUCAGCCACACUGGGACUGAGACACGGCCCAGACUCCUACGGGAGGCAGCAGUGGGAAUAUUGGACAAUGGGCGAAAGCCUGAUCCAGCAAUGCCGCGUGAGUGAUGAAGGCCUUAGGGUUGUAAAGCUCUUUUACCCGGAUGAUAAUGACAGUACCGGGAGAAUAA
RNAcentral lists this ribosomal RNA (413 nucleotides) under uncultured bacterium. Its description in RNAcentral is "bacterial SSU rRNA". It matches the Rfam family "Bacterial small subunit ribosomal RNA", at positions 29 to 489 of the family's 1533-position model. The record is from RNAcentral.